This 467-nucleotide ribosomal RNA is filed under the name uncultured bacterium. Its description in RNAcentral is "partial 16S ribosomal RNA". It matches the Rfam family "Bacterial small subunit ribosomal RNA", at positions 29 to 507 of the family's 1533-position model. The record is from RNAcentral.
ACGCACGCUGGCGGCGUGCUUAACACAUGCAAGUCGCACGGAAAGGCCCUGCUUUUGUGGGGUGCUCGAGUGGCGAACGGGUGAGUAACGCGUGAGUAACCUGCCCUUGACUUUGGGAUAACUUCAGGAAACUGGGGCUAAUACCGGAUAGGAGCUCCUGCUGCAUGGUGGGGGUUGGAAAGUUUCGGCGGUUGGGGAUGGACUCGCGGCUUAUCAGCUUGUUGGUGGGGUAGUGGCUUACCAAGGCUUUGACGGGUAGCCGGCCUGAGAGGGUGACCGGCCACAUUGGGACUGAGAUACGGCCCAGACUCCUACGGGAGGCAGCAGUGGGGAAUAUUGCACAAUGGGCGGAAGCCUGAUGCAGCAACGCCGCGUGCGGGAUGACGGCCUUCGGGUUGUAAACCGCUUUCGCCUGUGACGAAGCGUGAGUGACGGUAAUGGGUAAAGAAGCACCGGCUAACUACGUG